AUUGAACGCUGGCGGCAGGCCUAACACAUGCAAGUCGAGCGAGCGGCGGACGGGUGAGUAAUGUAUCGGGAAUGCCCGAUAGGGGGGGAUAACUACUGGAAACGGUAGCUAAUACCGCAUACUAUCGGAUAAUCCAUAUGGGAUUAGCUAGUAGGUGGGGGAACGGUUCACCUGGGCGACGCUCCCUAGCUGGUCUGAGAGGAUGACCAGCCACACUGGUACUGAGACACGGUCCAGACGCCUACGGAGGCAGCAGUGGGGAAUAUUGCACAAUGGGCGCAAGCCUGAUGCAGCCAUGCCGCGUGUAUGAAGAAGGCCCUAGGGUUGUAAAGUACUUUCAGUCGGGAGGCGUUACCGACAGAAGAAGCACCGGCUAACUCCGUGCCAGCAGCCGCGGUAAUUC
Molecule: ribosomal RNA, 403 nt
Filed under: uncultured bacterium
Lineage: Bacteria
Description: partial 16S ribosomal RNA
Rfam family: Bacterial small subunit ribosomal RNA
Source: RNAcentral